Molecule: long non-coding RNA, 1820 nt
Filed under: Manihot esculenta (cassava)
Lineage: Eukaryota; Viridiplantae; Streptophyta; Magnoliopsida; Malpighiales; Euphorbiaceae
Description: long non-coding RNA (MESC_LNC012459)
Source: RNAcentral
UUCCUCUGUUUCAUUAGCACUUUAACCUGUAAUACAUAUGAACAUCACACUUAUAAUACACUAACAAUUGUCAUUUGAUAUCUUACUAUUCUUUGAUUACAUAACCUUUACACUCUAUUAAAUAUGUACAUGCCAAAAUAUAACUGCACUAUGACUCAGAGACUCAAAACAACCAGCUAUGAUGAUGGCCUUGAUAUCUGAUGUAGAUCUUUGAUAACUUCCGUUGCCCCUAUUUUAUCUACAACCUGCGUGAGGUAAAAACCAACACACUGAGCUAAUGCUUAGUGGGUGAUAGCAAUAAUAACAGAAUAAAACAAACAAGUUCACAUAUAUCGAUAAUCAAGUAAACCAUUACAAGCUAGUAGAUGCAAACAUGUUAACAUUCACCAAUAAGUUCACAAAAUCAAAUAUCAAUCUUAAUUAAGAUCUUAGCCCUUAUAAACACAUAGUAGGAUCGACUAGGUAGAUAAGGAGUUAUAUCGGUAGGCACAGGGUGCCGAACGGUAGGCUCAGAGGCCAAAACUGUGAUAGCAGGGCUCUAUGGCCAUGCUUAUGAGGUACUAGAUAUGUAACCUCAAAUAUAGAUCAUGUAUCGGUAGCAGUACUGUGAACUCUGUAUGUUUAUAUGGCAUGCCAUACCCUUAAACUAACCUCGACUCCUAUUACGUUUACCAGAGCCAAAUACCAUUAAUUCAAUGUAUCAAUGUCAAAUGCAUGCCAUUUGAAGCUAUUUCAAUUCAUUUUCCAAAGUACAUAUAUCAUAUGCCAAUAUUUACAAUAUGGAAAACUAAUGGCAAAUAGUGCAAAACUUUAUUGACUUAGCAUUUCAAUAUAGAAAACUACAUUCUUCCAUAUAUUGCAUAAAUUUUUUAGGUAGUUUAGAGUUACAAUUAAACUUCAGUUUCUUCAUAAGAAAUGUAUAUUUAUGCCUUAUCUUUCCAACAAGGUAUGGUUCAUACAAAUUUGAUCAUCCUAGCUUAAGUUAUGAAUUUUUCUUUACAAGCUGCUCAAUAAGGUAUUAAUCAGUCCAGUAUUGGUACCUGUUUAUAGUCUCACAAAACUUAUCAGAUUUAUGCAUUUCCAUACUAAUUAAAGCUUAAGUGUCUUCUACAAAUUUUUAGGUAUACUUCUUAAGAUUCAAUUGGUACUGGUCUUAACAAAUUUCACUAAGUACAAAAUUAGUUAUGGUAUCAUCAAUAGACUCUAUUCCGGAUGCACUACCACUGUAUCCAGUUUAGGUUCACUUACAAUUUUCAUCAUCUUACAUACAGAUUUCGAAUUUGUUCAAUCAUGAAAAUUUUAGCUCUUUGUCUUAGCUUUCAUUUGGUAUAUCUUAGGACUAAUUUCAAUAAAUACACAAUAAGUUAUGAACUUGUUAACACAAGCUGCCCUGUUAAAACCUAUUCUGCCAGAUUUGCACUUUUAGCUCUCAUGUUAAGUUUCUUUACUCUAAGCCUUUCAAACACCAUUUUAACAUACAUAUAACAUAUUUAUACAAUCAAAGCAACAUUUCCAGCAAGUAAAAUCACCCUCCAACUUCAUAUGUCCAUGAGAAAAUUCAAGGAAAACAGAAAAUCAAAGAAACACCAAACCUUUCUUUAAUUCCUCUUUCCUUUUUCCACUUCUACUCUCUAGCUAUCUCCUUUCCCUUUGAUGUUCCUUCACCUAGGUCAAUUUAUAUCUUAGGGAAGGAUUGAAUAAACUAUAAAUUAAAGCUUUAUAAUUCAAAUCCAUGCAUGAAGAAAUAAGAAGAUGCCAUUUCCUACACACUUCUAAGCUCACCUUUGAUUUUCAAGCUUGAUGUAUAUGGAACCCUAANN